UAACGGACACGACGCAGAGAGAGGCACCGAAUGAAACCUAUUCUGAACAGAUGUUAGUAUUUUACAAAAGUCACGUGAAAUGAACAGAUGUUGUUGUAGAACAGGGACUCGCCUUGGUUCGAGAGCAUUCCUCGACAGAAAGGCUUCGAAAUAAGAUCGGAGAGAAGCAUUAGCGUUCUAUUCACAACAAAAAACGACUCAGCACAUCGUGUGGGUGAUAAUAGAUUUACCACGGGCCUCACCUGCGAUGGAACCUCGGCCUACGUCCCAUAGGAAAUCUAUCAAACUAAAAUGGACGGUUCCAACCGCGCAGGAAUUUGCUGGAGAUGGGGCAGGGGCGUUUGUGAAGCAGGUCGUCAACAGGCUGACUCAUCACAUAUGGCCCCAGAACCGUGUCCCUCUGCCAAGAUGACACUGCACAGGAUAUAGUCCACAUCAUCAGCCACCUGGUCAGGUGACCCUGAUAACAACAACAACAACAACAAGGAACAAACAAAAGUUGAUUGGAUGGUGUAAGAGAUGAUCCUGACUGCAAGUUUCCAUUGUGGUCCAACUGAAUCUACCAAUGGAUAUCCUGGUGUAUCUGCUUCUGGACUGAACAGGGCUGGAGAGGACCACAGUUCCUCUCAACAAAUAGGCCCACAUCAAUGAACUUCUCCAGAUGAGACCGUGUGGAAUACUGAUGUGAUACUCAUACAUGCAAAAUGCUACUACAGGAUAGAAUAGCAUGGAGAACUUUAUGACACAAACAACAGUCAUACUGAAGCUAACAUGGACAAGUUUGCAAUGAUGCAAUAUUUAGGAAUUGAUACCCACAAAAUAGUGGGUGGAUGAUCACUAGUUACAAUAGGGAAAUUGCACACACUUUCUUUUUAGGAUUAUAUUUAUAGAUGUUAUGUAUUUUUUUGAUUAUAAAUACCCAUUUUUGCUUUUAUUUCAUUUAUUGAGAGAACAUGUAUGUUGGCACAUUUUAUUGCGAAUGUUAAUAUUUGGUGCUUGAUGAGAAGUUAUCUUCAAAAAGUUUUGUAACAAGAUUUGGUUUUACGAUAUUAAAGAGAUGGAAGGCUGUUUUAACUACUGAACUAUGUACGAUGACCCGACUGUAUCUAACUGUAUCAUCUAUAUUAGAUUGAACUGUUUGUGAAACUAAUCCAGGGGGUCACAGAAGUUGAGAGUUGAAAGUGUUCAGUCUCGUUAAACAACCCAAAACCUCUUAGACAUAAUACCACAGUGUCAUGUGUCUGUACCCUGAUCCCUGCAGGAAACCCAUCUGCCUCUCAAAUGGCACCCUAUUCCCUAUAUAGUGCACUACAUGCAUAUUCCCUAUGUAGUGGCCCAUAGGGUUCUGGUCAAAAUAGUGCACUAUAUAGGGAAUAGGGUGCCAUUUAGGACGCUGACCCGUUCCGAGGACCCUGGUAUCUCCCUGCUUUAACGAUGCAGGACAACGUAAAGUUUGACUUAUCUCCCUCCCCAAUCACCGUGUCACCAGGGUGCUGGCUCCGUCCUGCUGGAGGGAACAGCCUUGCUGUUUGUGACCUUAGUGAUAAAUCAAGUUCAAAGCAGAGGGUUGCACGCUGACAGAUAUCACCUUACACCCUGACAGAUAUCACCUUACACCCUGACAGAUAUCACCUUACACCCUGACAGAUAUCACCUUAUACCCAGGCCCAGUUCACUUGUCUUAUUAUUACAUGUUGGCUGUUUGCGUUUGCUAGUCUCAUACCUGUCAUGGAUAGCGUUCAUUAUUCAAAUGUGUUGAGGCAACAUCACACAUAGAACCCCCCCACCCCAUCUACCACCAUUCCAGUAAAUGACUGAAAUCAGAUUAGAGUAAUGUCAUAUGAAACACUAACCAACAAGAGUUUGUCUGCAUCCCAAAUGGAAACCCAUUUCCUUUAUAGUGCACUACUUUUGACCAGAACCCAAUGGGUCCUAGGCCCUUGGUCUAAAGUAAUGCAUUAUAUAGGGAAUAGGGUGCCAUUUGGGAAACAGACUUAGAUUCCUGAGGAGUGAGUCCACGUGACAUGAAGCCACACUUGGAUAAACAGUUUCACCCUUCCCUUAUUAAUUCUGCUGACCUUGGUGUCACCGUGGAUGAAUGUUUUAUGAAGGUCUGGAGCUCCAACGAAGGCUAGAGGAGUAGCAAUAAGAUCUAUUAAACGUUCUGGUACUGUAGGACUGAAAUAAUAGCUGUUUUACACAUUACACUGUACACUAUCAGUGUACAGUGUAAAUAUUCAGUUUGCGGAAUAUUUAAAUAAAACCUGGAAUAACAUUUUAAAAAGGCUACCUAUAAUUAAAUUGUAACCCAAACAA
Long non-coding RNA from Oncorhynchus kisutch (coho salmon), 2316 nucleotides. RefSeq lists it as uncharacterized. The record is from RefSeq and is a predicted model, not a curated record. NCBI's taxonomy places the organism in Eukaryota, Metazoa, Chordata, Actinopteri, Salmoniformes, Salmonidae. The transcript is spliced from 2 exons.